UUUUUUAGAAGAGAUGCAUUUAUUAGAUAAAAAAUCAAUACAUGCUUUUAAAGAGUGGGGGGUUGGUGAAUUACAGUAACUUAGCAAAUCGCAUAGUGAAAACAGGCGAUAAAUCAUUCAAGUUUCUGACCUAUCAGCUUUCGACGGUAUGGUAUUGGCUUACCGUGGCAGUGACGGUUAACGGGGGAUUAGGGUUCGAUUCCGGAGAGCGAGCCUGAGAUACGGCUACCACAUCUAAUGAAGGCAGCAGGCGCGCAAAUUACCCAAUUCUAACAGCAUAAGAGAGGUAGUGACAAGAAAUAACAAUACAAGGCAGUUAAAAUGCUUUGUAAUUGGAAUGAUAGAAAUUUAAACACUUUUUAAAGUAUCAAUUGGAGGGCAAGUCUGGUGCCAGCAGCCGCGGUAAUUCCAGCUCCAAUAGCGUAUAUUAAAAUUGUUGCAGUUAAAAAGCUCGUAGUUGAAUCUCUGCUAAAAAUAACCGGUCUGCUUUUAAUAAAGGUGGUAUCUUGGUGUGUUUUUAGCAAUACUGUCCUUUGAAAUAUUUUUUACUUCAUUGUAAUAAAUUAUGUUCAGGAUUUUUACUUUCAGAAAAUUAGAGUGUUUCUAGCAAGCUAAUGCUUUGAAUA
RNAcentral lists this ribosomal RNA (626 nucleotides) under Hepatozoon cf. felis ex Hyaenidae JK-2021. RNAcentral's name for it is "partial small subunit ribosomal RNA". It matches the Rfam family "Eukaryotic small subunit ribosomal RNA", at positions 188 to 801 of the family's 1831-position model. Lineage: Eukaryota; Apicomplexa; Hepatozoidae. The record is from RNAcentral.